GACGAACGCUGGCGGCGUGCUUAACACAUGCAAGUCGAACGGAAAGGCCCUGCUUUUGUGGGGUGCUCGAGUGGCGAACGGGUGAGUAACACGUGAGUCACCUUCCCUUGACUUUGUGAUAACUUCAGGAAACUGGUGCUAAUACCGGAUAGGAGCUCCUGCUGCAUGGUGGGGUUUGGACAGUUUCGGCGGUUGGGGAUGGAUUCGCGGCUUAUCAGCUUGUUGGUUGGGUAGUGGCUUACCAAGGCUUUGACGGGUAGCCGGCCUGGGAGGUUGACCGGCCACAUUGGGACUGAGAGACGGACCAGACUGCUACGGGAGGCAGCAGUGGGGAAUAUUGCACAAUGGGCGGAAGCCUGAGGCAGCAACGCCGCGUGCGGGAUGACGGCCUUCGGGUUGUAAACCGCUUUCGCCUGUGACGAAGCGUGAGUGACGGUAAUGGGUAAAGAAGCACCGGCUAACUACGUG
Molecule: ribosomal RNA, 468 nt
Filed under: uncultured bacterium
Lineage: Bacteria
Description: partial 16S ribosomal RNA
Rfam family: Bacterial small subunit ribosomal RNA
Source: RNAcentral